CCUACGGGCGGCAGCAGUGAGGAAUAUUGGUCAAUGGACGAGAGUCUGAACCAGCCAAGUAGCGUGAAGGAUGACUGCCCUCUGGGUUGUAAACUUCUUUUAUAUGGGAAUAAAACGUUCCACGUGUGGGUUUUUGUCUGUGCCAUAUGAAUACGGAUCGGCUAACUCCGUGCCAGCAGCCGCGGUAAUACGGAGGCUCCUAGCGUUAUACGGAUUUAUUGGGUUUAAAGGGAGCGUAUGUGGAUUGUUAAGUCAGUUGUGAAAGUUUGCGGCUCAACCGUAAAAUUGCAGUUGAGACUGGCAGUCUUGAGUACAGUAGAGGUGGGCGGAAUUCGUGGUGUAGCGGUGAAAUGCUUAGAUAUCACGAAGAACUCCGAUUGCGAAGGCAGUUCACUGGACUGCAACUGACACUGAGGCUCGAAAGUGUGGGUAUCAAACAGGAUUAGAUACCCUUGUAGUC
Molecule: ribosomal RNA, 460 nt
Filed under: uncultured bacterium
Lineage: Bacteria
Description: partial 16S ribosomal RNA
Rfam family: Bacterial small subunit ribosomal RNA
Source: RNAcentral